CAUCGUUGAGACAUCGGUUCUCCUCAUGAUCACUGAAGUUCAACAACGUUGAGCUCGGUCAGUACUUAGAGGGGUGACCGCUUGGGAAUACCA
Molecule: non-coding RNA, 93 nt
Organism: Acanthosepion pharaonis
Lineage: Eukaryota; Metazoa; Mollusca; Cephalopoda; Sepiida; Sepiidae
Source: the annotation of a GenBank genome assembly